RNAcentral lists this ribosomal RNA (253 nucleotides) under uncultured bacterium. Its description in RNAcentral is "partial 16S ribosomal RNA". It matches the Rfam family "Bacterial small subunit ribosomal RNA", at positions 524 to 776 of the family's 1533-position model. The record is from RNAcentral.
UACAGAGGUCUCAAGCGUUGUUCGGAAUCACUGGGCGUAAAGGGUGCGUAGGCCGCACGGUAAGUCAGAGGUGAAAUCCCGGAGCUCAACUUCGGAAUUGCCUCCGAUACUGCCGUGCUUGAGGACUGGAGAGGAGAUUGGAAUUCACAGUGGAGCAGUGAAAUGCGUAGAUAUUGUGAGGAACACUAGUGGCGAAGGCGAAUCUCUGGACAGUUCCUGACGCUGAGGCACGAAGGCCAGGGGAGCGAACGGG